UCUCAUAGUGAAGGUCAUGGCAUGAUGUGAAUUCCUCACAAGGAGCUGUAAAAUAUGACCUUUGGAGGUGGGGGUUGGGAAAGGCUGUGUGAGCACCAGUGACCCAGAGAGUAGGAAGCAGGCCAAGGCAAGUAACUUGAUGGGGAAGCAGGAAUGAGGUGCUCCUCCCACCUGACCAGCACCAUUCAACUCUGAUAGUCUAUGGACUUUUCCACCAACUGGCUCCGUGCAUCUU
This 235-nucleotide long non-coding RNA is filed under the name Homo sapiens (human). Its description in RNAcentral is "HSALNT0221516". The record is from RNAcentral. Lineage: Eukaryota; Metazoa; Chordata; Mammalia; Primates; Hominidae.